CAAUGCCCAAUUGGCAAUCCUAUGAUCAGGAACGUUUAGGAUAUGUAUACAAAAGAAUGGUCUCAUGAAUCUAACUUCUUUAGAUCGCAUUCUCCCAAUCACAUAUUCCUUGGACUUAUCAUUUAAGCGUUUAACAUUUAUAUGAGACGGCUUAAACAAUAAUCUUUGUUCUUGAUAUUAAACUAGAUUAGUUUAACAUGUGAAAUGUUCGUAAAGUUAUCAUAUGAUUGGUUUGAGGGCACAUUUCCAACAAUCUCCCACUUGCACUAGAGCCAAUCAGCUUGGUCAUCAAUGAUGAUACCUCUUCUGUAGUCAUUUCAAAAAUGGCUGAGUAGUAGGCCUAGACAAUGGAUAUCUAUAUGUUAUCCAUAGAAGCAACCUUAAGAAUCAUGACGUCACCAUUAUACAUGAUUCUUAAUCAUGUGGUUCAGUCUCUCAAUUGAGUUUGGAUCUUGAUGAGACCUUGAUUCCCUGGCUUGAGCUAUUGCCCCAUUAGUGUCGUAGUGUCAGUACACUAGAGACACUUUCUGGUUGGAACCGAAUAGAGAGUUCAUAAAUGAACUUUCCCAUCCAAACAACAUUGUUGUAAACUUCUAUAAGGCAAUAUAUUUUGCAUUCAUAAUGGAACACACUAAAGUCAUUACUUUUAAUGUUUCCAUCCAAAUAUCUCUUUAGUCGUAAUAAAGAGAUAUCUGAUUAUCUCUUCAUUCAUAAUGAAGAAACAUCCAAUUAUGGAUUAGAUUCAUAAUCUAAUACAUUUACGCUUCCUUUACGUUACUCUAAUUCUUCCUCAUUCUUUGAGGAAUUUAUCCUUUAGUAUUUCUUAAAUACUUAAGGACUCACUUGACAGUUGCCAUGGUUCUGAUCCUGGGCUUGCAUUGAUAUUGUCUUGUACCGAUCUAGGUACAAUUCAUAUCAAUGUUUUUCAUACAAUAUGAAAUACGUAAAUCACCUUUCUGCGUAUGCAUACAGGAUUCUAUUUAUGCAUUAUGUUUAUUUAGGAGUCAAAAGGGUACGUUCCCUUUGAGAAGAACAACUUCCUAGUCUCACUAGAGUUGUCCUUUUGAUUUGAAGUUUGUCAUCAUAUGAGAAACUUCCUAGCAUCUCUUGUCUAUCAUUAGGGUUUGAUAUAAUCCAAUUAUAUCCUGAAAUCUAUCAUUAUAGAUUUCCAUCCCAUGUUUAUAGACUAUGUCUCCCAUAUACAUUCUAUCUUUAUAGAAUGUUUAUAGUCAUAACUUUAACGAAGAAGUAUUCUUUUCAUUUCCAAAAUUAAUAUAUCAUAUAUGUGUAUAUAUAUAUAUAUAUAUAUAUUUAAAUUUAGGACAUGAUUAACUCCCACUAAUCUUUUGUAAACCUAGUAAACAAAAGAUUCAUUUACAUCUUUAUGAGAAAUCAAUUGAUUUGAUCUUUCUCUCAUAAGACGCUUAUGGCUCCCACUAGCUUGCUAAGAUUCUUGAUGGAUGGAUCUCUACAACUUACAUGUCUUGUGAUUUAUAGUUUUAGACAUAUAUUAUCAAGACUAUCUUAAUAAUGGUUUCGGAAACCCAUAUUAUGUCCAAAUAUUGAAUCACCAUUUAGUUGUAGCUAGCAAUCUUCGAAUUAAUUGAAACCAAGACUAUCUCAAAGAUG
Molecule: long non-coding RNA, 1629 nt
Filed under: Malus domestica (apple)
Lineage: Eukaryota; Viridiplantae; Streptophyta; Magnoliopsida; Rosales; Rosaceae
Description: long non-coding RNA (MDOM_LNC011333)
Source: RNAcentral